Molecule: long non-coding RNA, 216 nt
Filed under: Panax ginseng (ginseng)
Lineage: Eukaryota; Viridiplantae; Streptophyta; Magnoliopsida; Apiales; Araliaceae
Description: long non-coding RNA (PGIN_LNC016079)
Source: RNAcentral
UUCUUUUCAUAUGAUGAGUAUCUUCUAUUAAUCAACCAAACUUAUUUCUAUUAUGUGAUGCUUCUUUUUAUAACCCCAUCACUGAGAUUUCUAACAACCAUAUAUCUAAUGAAUUUGAUUGGUACCAGCUAUUAAUUAUUCAUAGUUAACGUUAUAAAAAAUGAAUAUGAAUUAGAUGGGAUAGUAGAUUUGGAUUGGAUCUUUAGAAGGAUGGAG